UCACACACACACACACACACAGAGUUAGAUGGCGGUCAACCCAUUGAAAUGGAAUGAUUCUCAUUCUAUGGGUCAACCAUUUCAAAACACUUGAGAACAAUUAAAACUGUUUUCAUUCAAUGAACAAACGUCCAGGUCAUCAAACGGCCCUCCAGCUGUAAAUGCUCAUCAAAUGAACGUUCAUCAAACGGUUCUAGUAAAUUCUAAAUGGUCUCAAUUGUUCAUCAACGUGAAUCACAUAAAACGGUACACAAGCUUUUCUGUCAGUAUUUUAACUCCGGGGGUUAACCAUUUCCUACAAUCCUCUGCCAGAUGCUAGUCAGUGUCACAUGGCUCAGAUAUCAAAGCACACAGGUCAGAGUCUCACAUCAGCGUUGUCUCCUGACUGGUGUAAGUCCACAGCAGCUUCGCAAACAAACGCUUACAAGGGCUGAAGUCUGUAGGUAAACUAACACUUACAAGGGCUGAAGUCUAUAGGUAAACUAACACUUACAGGGCUGAAGUCUAUAGGGAAACUAACACUUACAGGGCUGAAGUCUAUAGGGAAACUAACACUUACAGGGCUGAAGUCUAUAGGGAAACUAACACUUACAGGGCUGAAGUCUAUAGGGAAACUAACACUUACAGGGCUGAAGUCUAUAGGUAAACUAACACUUACAGGGCUGAAGUCUAUAGGUAAACUAACACUUACAGGGCUGAAGUCUAUAGGUAAACUAACACUUACAGGGCUGAAGUCUAUAGGGAAACUAACACUUACAGGGCUGAAGUCUAUAGGUAAACUAACACUUACAGGGCUGAAGUCUAUAGGGAAAUAGCAGGAUGUCACUUCAAACAGCUCCUCUGUGAAUUUA
Oncorhynchus keta (chum salmon) is the source of this 851-nucleotide long non-coding RNA. RefSeq lists it as uncharacterized. NCBI's taxonomy places the organism in Eukaryota, Metazoa, Chordata, Actinopteri, Salmoniformes, Salmonidae. The transcript has 4 exons. The record is from RefSeq and is a predicted model, not a curated record.